This 253-nucleotide unclassified non-coding RNA is filed under the name plant metagenome. Its description in RNAcentral is "partial contains small subunit ribosomal RNA, internal transcribed spacer 1, and 5.8S ribosomal RNA". The record is from RNAcentral.
UUUCCGUAGGUGAACCUGCGGAAGGAUCAUUAACGAGUUAGGGUCUUCUAGGCCCGACCUCCCAACCCUAUGUUUAUUGAACCUCUGUUGCUUCGGCGGACCCGCCUCACGGCCGCCGGAGGACCGCUGCAAGGCGUCCUCUGGCCAGCGUCCGCCGAUGGCCAACCACUUAAACUCUGAAUGAAUCGUGUCAUAUGUCUAAGUCUAUGAUUAAAUUAAAGCAAAGCUUUCAACAACGGAUCUCUUGGUUCUG